CCUACGGGGGGCAGCAGUGAGGAAUAUUGGUCAAUGGGCGCGAGCCUGAACCAGCCAAGUAGCGUGAAGGAUGACUGCCCUACGGGUUGUAAACUUCUUUUAUAAAGGAAUAAAGUGAGGCACGUGUGCCCUUUUGUAUGUACCAUAUGAAUAAGCAUCGGCUAACUCCGUGCCAGCAGCCGCGGUAAUACGGAGGAUGCGAGCGUUAUCCGGAUUUAUUGGGUUUAAAGGGUGCGUAGGUGGUUAGUUAAGUCAGCUGUGAAAGUUUGUGGCUCAACCAUAAAAUUGCCGUGGAAACUGGUAGACUUGAGUAUAGUAGAGGUAGGCGGAAUGCGUGGUGUAGCGGUGAAAUGCAUAGAUAUCACGAAGAACUCCGAGUGCGAAGGCAGCUUACUGGACUAUAACUGACACUGAGGCACGAAAGCGUGGGGAUCAAACAGGAUUAGAUACCCGAGUAGUC
RNAcentral lists this ribosomal RNA (460 nucleotides) under uncultured bacterium. RNAcentral describes it as "partial 16S ribosomal RNA". It matches the Rfam family "Bacterial small subunit ribosomal RNA", at positions 338 to 795 of the family's 1533-position model. The record is from RNAcentral.